GGUCGAGAUCAGCUGGGGCCCCAGGCAUGGCGAGAAGGCGAAGGCGCCGACGAUGGCGAGGCAAGAUCGGAGAUGAAGGCGCGGUGUCUGACGGCUUGUAUGGUGAGGUAGAGAUCAACGGAGGAGCUCGACAACCGAAUAAGCAGGAGGGGACGCUGGCGCAGAGACAGCAAGGACAUGCUGACGCGAUGAGCAUGGACGACGGCGCUCGCUGCAGUCUAGCAAAAAGGACAUCGGCACCAGGAAGCCAACAAUUUGGGCGACCACGAGGUGAACGCGCUGGGGAGGUUGAGCAAGAAGAGAGCAUGACUAUUGCUUGUCUCCUUCCUAUGC
RNAcentral lists this unclassified non-coding RNA (333 nucleotides) under Zea mays. RNAcentral describes it as "misc RNA Zm00001eb269690". Lineage: Eukaryota; Viridiplantae; Streptophyta; Magnoliopsida; Poales; Poaceae. The record is from RNAcentral.